UGUUGCCUUGUUGAUGUGUUUAUGAUCAGGCAAGCAUGCAAAUAUCUUUAAGCUUUUGAUUUUGUUCACUUAAAUGAAUGGUAACCAUGCAACAUCGAGCAGCCUAAUAAUUUUUUCCAGUCUGUUGUAGUGCAGAGUGCUGGAAGUACUAAUUAUACUGGGUUUUGGUUGAGUACUUAUGCCAGUUGACUUGUCUUGUGGUGUCUCCUAAUGUGUGAUUGGAUCAUCUCGAAGCAGGUGUGGAAAUUUGUAAAUGAUUUGCAUAUAUUUUUAUGGGGUUUCAUGGGGUAAUUUGUUAAUGUUUAGUAUGUCCUUAAGUAGGAGGUUUGGAAACUCAUGUACAGGCAAUUGUGCAUCCUUGUCUGGCUUAGGGGUCGUGUGGUUGUUACUUUAUUAAAAGUCGGUAUUUUGCAUGGUCAGAUUGAAAUAUCCCUACCUUGGCGUUGAGAAAACAUUUUUAUUGCUCUUUGGCAAUCAAAUGAGGAUGUGUUUCUUCUUGUCAUAUUGUAUGUUUAACAAUGGAGUGAGGCUUUUUGUGCUUUUUGACGUUGGCAUUGUAGACAUUCCCAUUCAUAGGGUUGAGUGGAU
Molecule: unclassified non-coding RNA, 588 nt
Filed under: Hevea brasiliensis (rubber tree)
Lineage: Eukaryota; Viridiplantae; Streptophyta; Magnoliopsida; Malpighiales; Euphorbiaceae
Source: RNAcentral